UUUCUCAUUUGAAAUUUCAUAAAUAAAAAGAAAAUUUCUUCAAAUUUUUUUUUGAGAGGAUUAAUAUUCAACAGCAUAGUGAAUUGCUCUAAGAGAAAACAAAAAAAUUAAGUUCAUUAGAACACAUUCAUUCUGUGUCAGAAACCUAUGCUGUGUCAACUAUUUAAUCACAAUCCAAAUUUAGAGCUGAAUCCAGCUUGAAUGUUGUGUCCAUACUUGCCCCAACCAUUUAGGGUUCAACCUCUGCGGUCGUAUAAAGCUACGCCCUGCGGAGCAUCUGGUGUACGAUUGGUUAGAUCCAAAGCAAGGGUUCGUAUGAGCCUUUUGUAAGAUUGGUUAGAUCCAAAGCAAGGAUUCGUGUGAGCCUUUUGUACGAUUAGUUAGAUACAAAGCAAGGGUUCGUAUGAGCCUUUUGUAAGAUUGGUUAGAUCCAAAGCAAGGGUUCGUGUGAGCCUUUUGUAAGAUUGGUU
This 470-nucleotide long non-coding RNA is filed under the name Mytilus galloprovincialis (Mediterranean mussel). The record is from RNAcentral. Lineage: Eukaryota; Metazoa; Mollusca; Bivalvia; Mytilida; Mytilidae.